Molecule: ribosomal RNA, 253 nt
Filed under: uncultured bacterium
Lineage: Bacteria
Description: partial 16S ribosomal RNA
Rfam family: Bacterial small subunit ribosomal RNA
Source: RNAcentral
UACGGAGGGGGCAAGCGUUGUUCGGAAUCAUUGGGCGUAAAGAGUAUGUAGGCGGCUAUUUAAGUCAGACGUGUAAGCCCACGGCUCAACCGUGGAAUUGCGUUUGAAACUAUUUAGCUUGAGUACAGGAGAGGAAGGCGGAAUUCCCAGUGUAGCGGUGAAAUGCAUUGAUAUUGGGAAGAACACCGGUGGCGAAGGCGGCCUUCUGGUCUGAUACUGACGCUGAGGUGCGAAAGUGUGGGGAGCAAACAGG